CCGUCGGUAGUACAACGUUUCAGCAUGCGCUCUCGGAAAGGGUAAGAUCUGGGUUUGAAUCCCGGCUGACGCA
Molecule: non-coding RNA, 73 nt
Organism: Parelaphostrongylus tenuis
Lineage: Eukaryota; Metazoa; Nematoda; Chromadorea; Rhabditida; Metastrongylidae
Source: the annotation of a GenBank genome assembly